AAGAUCGUACUCACUAGGAUCAUUUCUAUAGUACGUAUCCCGUCUUUGUUCUCCUACAAAGACAACCGCAUAAGCCACGAGGAUGACAUGUAGCAUCCUCCCCUGAGCGGGAAGCGCACCAGCACGACAGCGUCCAUGUUUGGAUGCAAAAGAGUGCUGGUGAUUGAUGACCGUUCUGCACUGUCCUUCUGGUCAGUGUGGAGGGGGAGGCUGCUUUAUGAGUGGC
Molecule: small nucleolar RNA, 226 nt
Organism: Sycon ciliatum
Lineage: Eukaryota; Metazoa; Porifera; Calcarea; Leucosolenida; Sycettidae
Product: small nucleolar RNA U3
Exons: 1
Source: RefSeq, a predicted model, not a curated record